CAGAACGAACGCUGGCGGCAGGCUUAACACAUGCAAGUCGAACGCGUGUAGCAAUACACGAGUGGCGCACGGGUGAGUAACGCGUGGAUAUCUGCCUUUUGGUUCGGAAUAACUCCGGGAAACUGGAGCUAAUACCGGAUGGUUCCUACGGGAUAAAGAUUUAUCGCCAAAAGAUGAGUCCGCGUACGAUUAGCUAGUUGGUGAGGUAAUGGCUCACCAAGGCGACGAUCGUUAGCUGGUCUGAGAGGACGAUCAGCCACACUGGGACUGAGACACGGCCCAGACUCCUACGGGAGGCAGCAGUGGGAAUAUUGGACAAUGGGGGCAACCCUGAUCCAGCCAUGCCGCGUGAGUGAUGAAGGCCUUCGGGUUGUAAAGCUCUUUUGGCGGGGACGAUGAUGACGGUACCCGCAGAAUAAGCCCCGGCUAACUUCGUG
Molecule: ribosomal RNA, 437 nt
Filed under: uncultured bacterium
Lineage: Bacteria
Description: bacterial SSU rRNA
Rfam family: Bacterial small subunit ribosomal RNA
Source: RNAcentral